UCUUCAAAAGAGACUAAAGAGAAAAUAUUAUGGCCAGCAUAUGCAGAGGCAUUCGAGGUGCAGGAAGAAUUGGGAAAUGAGAAAAAUUUAGCACUUUUGUGUAAAAUUUGUAUUGAAAAAAAAAUUAUACAUGCUAGCAGAACUUCAACAGCAAACUUAAGAAAACAUUUAACUUUUAUUAUCGAAGACAUUCAACCCCUUUCCACUAUUGAUAGUCCAGCAUUCAUUAAUUUGCUAAGAAUUGGAGUUCCUUCACAUAUGCGUAUAAUGUGCAGGAAAACAUUAAAA
Molecule: long non-coding RNA, 288 nt
Organism: Solenopsis invicta (red fire ant)
Lineage: Eukaryota; Metazoa; Arthropoda; Insecta; Hymenoptera; Formicidae
Exons: 2
Source: RefSeq, a predicted model, not a curated record